AAAAAAAAAAAAGAAAAGAAACAAAAAGAAAGAAAGGAAAAAAGGGGGUGAGGGGCUGCAGGGCAGAUAGAUUUCCUGCAGACAAAUUCUAAUAGGCCUUCCAGAUAUAUAGCAUCUUGUUAAAAAUUCAUGCAGGCCAGAAUACUAGAAGGUCAGAAAAUGUCUUUGAAAUUCUGCCAGAGAUCUUUUUGAUAAUUCAUUCAGGUUUUAAAAGGGAAAAUUCCUCAUUAAAGAGAACCUAAUGCUUAUUAAUUUAUACUCCUAAGGCAGAGGCUGAAUAUUAAGCGGUGGACUCUGUUAAUCCAUUUAUUAAAUAUCAAAGACCAUAUGUUUUCACCCUGUGUCCUUGCUUAUUGAUUAAUUUCCUCAGACCUAUAUGGGUAAAAGCAGAAUAAAGUCUCUAGACACUUUCCUAAACUGGUGGAGACUGUAGCACUCUUUUGUGUAGUCUGUACCUUACAGAACUCAAUCUCCUCUGCCUUCAGGUACACGUCUGUAAUCUCCUGGAUCUGGCUGAAUAAAAUUCCCCUUUGCUGAAAGUUAUCAUUUUGUGCCAAAGGGUAUUUUGUUGGUGACUUUUAUUGGCCUGCCAUAAAGAAGGUUCUGCUUUUUACCUGUCAGCCAGGUCUGAUUUUGUAUUACUUCUGGCAGCAAUAACUAAGCAUGUGACACAACUCUGACUCUUUGGGAGACUGAUGGAUGUCGUGUGACACAGCUACGAGGCAGAAGUGAAAGGGGAAGGAAACAGAGAGAAAUAUUGGUCCUCUCUGUUUAAUACCUACACAUAACAGAGUCCUAGAAUGUAGCAGAAAGAGUGGACCCCUGCACCUAUCCACCAUUAUCUCUGGCAGAAGCUUAAGUACAGAUCUGCCAUUCAUUUACCCCACUCCCUCUCCUGUUUAAUUGCAAUCUUGGAUUAUGUGCAGCACACUUGCCUGAAUAAUGUGUGGAGAACAAAAGCUAAUGAAAGCUAGAUGAGAAGAAAACAGUGGUGGGAAAAAAAUUGCAUGGUGGGAAUAAAACCAUCUGUUUAGGAAAAUGAAAAGAAAUAAAUGCCAAAAUGGCUCAGUUCCAUAGUCAAAUGGAUAUAUGUUAACUAGACUUCAGCACUUGUUCAUAGUUCUCAUUGCAACAAAUGCUAACAUAAUGUAGUCUUUGUUUUCUGACAUUGACCUCUGGGGCAGUUAAAUGGCACAAUACUUUCUGCAGGCUAAGAAUACCUCUUCUGGACAGUCACUGUGGCUAAAGUGGUGCAGAGUAGCUUCUGCAAUGAUAGCAAUCUUAUUUUGAAUCUGACCUGUUAAACUUAUUCAACACAAAAUGUUAAAACCACAUUUUGUGCAGAAAAAAAAAAAAUCCAUUGCUAGGUGGUGAAAGGAAAGAGGUCUAAAAGCUCUUCUGACAGGUCAGCAGAUGGAGUGAGGACACUGAGCCAGGGCUGCAUUCUCACACAGUAACUGAGAGGGACAGCUAAAUGAGAGAUGCCUUGGCUGAGCAUCAAGUUGAGCUGCUGUUCUCUCAGAAGAUCAACAAAAGACCAUCAUGAAUUCUCUGACAGUGGAAGCUGCAUGAUCAAAAUGCAGUUUAAGAUGUUAAUCGGAAACUGGAACAAUAAACCAAAGGGAAGCAGCUCCUUUCACUCUUGCUGCCUCUGCAGCCUACAAGAGUUUUGCCACUGAUUUCAAAGAGAGCAAAGCCAGGUAAUUAUAAUGCUUGUGGCUUACAAAGCCCUCUCUACCUUGAUGAACAAAGCUCCUCAAAGUGAAGCACUUCAGAGACUUUUCUAUAGUCUCCUUCUACAAAAGAAUUUAUUUUAUAGCGCUGGAACAUUUUCUAUUAAAAAAAAAAAAAGAACCCCUCCCUCCUCCAAAAAAAAAAAAACCCAAAACCACCAAAGAAGCCAACAACAACAAAAUACCCACCAAAAACAUGAAAAAUGAAAGAGUUAAAUCCAAAUAUUUUAAGGACCUGAAAUAAUUUCAUACUACUCUGUAAAGCUUCUUCACAGCAAUAGCAGGGAAACUACCUCUUUUAAAUGAUAGCAUGAUCUUAUAAAUAGCCCUGCAGUAAAAAAGUGAGUCAAAGAUGAAAAAAGUCUUCUUAAAAAUUUAUGUUUUAAUUAUUAUUCUACAAAGGACCUUACUCAGAGAAGCCUUUAAGUAGAAAAGAUAUUUCAGGUUAAGAAUGAACCUCACUUUUGACUUGGACAAAAACUCAAGAGAUUCGUAAAGUUAACUGUGAUCUUAAGCACUGCCUCCAAUUAGUGGCUAAUGAAGCACUGUCUCUGUUUAGUGAAUUUUUUCUGGUUUUGCUCGAAAUCUACCAGGAUGUAUACAGGCAUUUAUGUUUCAGCAUUAGGCAUAACAGACUUGGGACAUUCUAAAAGGUCACAAAAAUCUUGGGGCAACUUGAUAACACAGGUAAACCAGCAACAUCGGUAAACCUGGCUUACUAAUGUGAGGACAUUUAAGAAAAAAUUACUGAAAAUGGGGCCAAAACAGUGCUGUUGGAAGCACAGUGAAAUCCUGUGCUUGCAUUUUGCCAAUCUCAGACAAAGGAAAAAAACAGUUUUGAAGUCCAAGAAAAUCAGCAAGUAUUUUCAUUUAAAUUCUACGUCUACUUAGUCAAUUUGAACAUGUUCUCUCCCCAGGGACUACACAGGCUAUAGCAAUAAGAUAUUCCCUGAAUUUUCCUCUUCUGCCAAGUAAGAAGAGAUGAGAGAGCAAAGACUGAAUGGAGCUACAGUAAAAGUUAGAAUAGAUGACCUAGAGACCCCUCUUUGGGUGGAUUCCCCACAUGAGAAUGCCAACACAGGGGUUUUUAUGAUGUGGCAAUUUUCAGCAUAGGCACAAUUUCCAGAAGGGGGAUGUGCUACCCCAAGCAGGAAACAAAACCCUGCAAAAAUCUAGUAUUUUUGUGAUGUACUUCUCAUAUUUUCUACUCCUUUCUGUCCAAUAUCAAAUAACUUUGAAUAUCCAGGUCUUUGAAAAAAAGAAAUUAAAUCUCUGAGAACCUGUCUGGAUUACACAUACACUUAGAACUGAAAAAAACUGCCAGCCAGAGGGACCUCACUGGAAGGCUGAAUUUAGGACUGAAUUUAUAAAGGGACUCAAGUGAAGACAGCAGAGCAAUUUCCAGGUUCAAUGCCAUAUUGUUAGUGGAUACAUCCGAAAUCCUUCAUUAGCUAUAAAAUACAUGUCAGAAUAAUCUGUGCAAAAUUACUGCCCUAGUAGAAAGGGAUGAAGUGUGGGUAAGUGUUCGUAAAUCAAAUCUAGAGAUGAAAAUUAAAAUUGUAAAUUUUGACCUGGCACAUCCUGGAUUUACAAAAGCUAUCAAAAUACAGCCAUCUUUUUUCAUAGGACUGGUUUAACUGUGUACCUUUAAAGGCAGGAAGAAAUGCUGCAAGUACAUUUCUCUUUAGGAUUUACUUAAAUUAAUAUAGCAACCUCUAUAUCUACAUACUUAUAUUUGUAAUUUACUACAAAAUUCCUUAAUUUCUCAUUACUACAAGCAUGAAUAUUAAAAUAAAUAUGAAUAUCCCAAAAAGGGUUUCAGACCGGAUGUAAUGAUUCCUGUGGAGCCAUUAAGUUUCAUCAUUUCCAUAAAUUCAGUCUCCAUGCAAUGAGCACUUUAUGAAAGGGCAUUUAAUUGCCUGAUAAGAUAUAGUGGCUCCUCUGCAUCAAUAAUAAAGUCAAUAAUCUGCAUUUUUAAAUCUCUCUAAAUAUCCACUGACGCAAUAGGUUGUUGCCGUACUAGAGUCCUCCAGGCCCACUGGAUCACUAAUAUAAAAUGUUUAAGGCCAUUAAAUAUACAUUUAACAUGAUAGAAUUUUAUGAGUCUAUUGGAGGUCAAUGCUGUAAAAUUAUACCUCUAAAAAUCCUCCUCAGAAAGUAAUUUAUGGUAUAAAAUAUGUUUAUUAAAAGUCCCUGACUACAGAUUUAUGUGAUUUUAUGUGAAGACUGCAAUUGAAUAUGCUUGGGGACCAGUCCUGAGAACACUUUCCAUGAAGUUCAGAGCUUAUUACCCUACACAAUCCCUCCUCAAGUUAAUUGAAAUACUCCCAAGAGUAAAGUUACUCAUAGUCAAGAGUAUUUGUAGUUUCAUGCCCUUAAACUUGUUUCCACAGUUUUCCCUCUGAUUCACUGUGUGAUCUAGCAAGUCAUUAGAUUAGCAGGGCUUAUCUGAGAGAGGAACCAUUUAAUGGGUAAAAAGCAAGAUAAAAUGUAUGUUUGCCAUUUACUGAGGUGCAUAACACUUAAUCGUUACUAUUUUUGCAUCUCCAAUUUUAUUAAUCAACUAUGACAGUGGUAGUGAACAAUUAAAAAGAAAGAAAAUUAUUCUCAGAUCAAAUAGGAUAGAGAAAUCUCUUUGGAUCACACCUCAAAAAAAAUUAAAAUUCUUCCCAUCCUAUGCUCUAAACAACUUCCUAAGCUGUUUAGAAAAAAAUUAUGCAAGGCUAUUUCUAGAAUAUUUUCAGUGUAAUAUUUAUGAAAAAGUAUUGCAUUUCUGCUGAAAAAAGUAACAAAAAUUCUCCACCCCGUAUAUAUCCCUGCAAAAAAUGUCCCAAAAGUCCCUCCUCCUGUGCCACCGGAGCAGUUGGUUAUCACAGCAUACAGCAAAGAGCAAAAGCCAUUAAUGAACUGCUUAAUACUGGUUUUGUGCUUGUCUAAAGGUGAGAAAGAAAUGGAUAAUUUUAAAGUUAAUUUAAGAUGAAGCUUGGAGCGUGUAUGAAGGAACUGAAACAUUCCCAGCAUGGGAGAAAGUUGAACUCCCAGUAAAUGAAUGAAGAGUUUCUCAUCAGCUCAUUUUGCCAGCUGGUUAAAGAGGUGCAGUCAGGCACCCAGGCGGGGAAUGGUUCCACUUGGCCAUGUGGGAACAUCACUGUAAAGAUUUUCAGAAGGACAACCAACACUCCUCAUGGAGAACUGCUGAUUUCCUCAUCUCCCUUCCACUCAAGAAAACUCCUUAAAGGUGAAGUUUUGGAAAAGAAAUAAAUCUGGCUAGAUCUUGCCACUCUAACAGCAAAGGUUUUACAUGUCUGUGUGGGCUUUUGCUCAUUCUAAAAAUCAAAUACUUCUGUGAUACAAAAAUUGAAGUACUGAGGCCCAUCUGCACGGCUUGCCAGCACAUUAGCAGGAUGAUAUAAGGGAUAUCAGGAUGAUAAAGAGAUUUUUGAGCUCAUUUAAAGUGUACCAACAUACACAUUUUUCUUGUAUUUCUCUAUAUCUGUCUUGAACCCCAUUACUAUGCUGUGAGUACUUAGGUGUUAACUAUUAAAGAACUACCAAAGAAAAACAAGACAAAAA
Long non-coding RNA from Taeniopygia guttata (zebra finch), 5306 nucleotides. NCBI's taxonomy places the organism in Eukaryota, Metazoa, Chordata, Aves, Passeriformes, Estrildidae. The record is from Ensembl.